Molecule: long non-coding RNA, 1142 nt
Filed under: Sus scrofa (pig)
Lineage: Eukaryota; Metazoa; Chordata; Mammalia; Artiodactyla; Suidae
Description: lncRNA (ENSSSCG00005014945.1)
Source: RNAcentral
GGGGGCUCCCUUGUGCAUUGUAGGAUAUUUAGAGUAUCUCUAGCCUCUGCUCACUAGAUGCCACUAGCACUUCCUCCUCAAAUUGUGACAGAGAUUUCUGUGUUCCCAGGAGUGAGCUGGGACAGAAUUCCUCCCCCCAGCCCCUCUGAGAACCAUCGAGAAGCCGCCUUGCCUGGUUUGCUCUUACUUGAGAGUUAGAUAGCACAGGCUGGUUAAUUAGAGCAAAAACAAAUUUUAUAUUCCUUGGAUCAGAUAAUAGUAAUGCCAGGUCCCAGGGGUAUGUAGGGAGGUGGGGUGUCAGUCCCUUAAGUUGAAAAGACAAAUAGUAAUGACAAACUUCAAACAGGUGAAUUCUGUAACAACAGGUUCUAUACCCUGAAAAAUGGGCUCUAUUUGGGUUAACAAGGCUGCCACCAUGUGGCUUGUUGACAUUCUUUACCUCUUAAAGCCCCUUUUAUGUAGCACCUGAAGCACUUGUGGAUCCCCCCAGAAUACCAUACUCUUUCCUUUGGACUUUUGUCCAAAAUUCUCUUGCUGUCAGGCAAGUGUUGCCUAAUUUAUUUCUGGUUUGGAGGAGUUCAAGCUGCUGAGUUGAAGGAAAGAAAGGAGAUGGAGUGGAAAUUUUGGAGCCCAGAGAAAUCCUGGAGAACUCAGAUCUCUAUAAGAAAUUUUUUUUUUUUUUUUGCUUUUUAGGGGCCACACUCGUGGCAUAUGGAGGUUCCCAGGCUAGGGGUCUAAUUGGAGCUACAGCUGCCAGCCUACGCUACGGCCAGAGCAACGCCAGAUCCGAGCCACGUCUGCGACCUGCACCACAGAUCACAGCAACGGCAGAUCCUUAACACACUGGUCGAGGCCAGGGAUUGAACCCGCAACCUCAUGGUUCCUAGUUGGGUUUACUUCUACUUCGCUACGAUGGGAACUCCAAGAGAAACUUUGAUGCUCAUGGUCUUUCUGAAAAUCCAAGGAAGUUUGGCAUUCUGGUUGAGGAAGAUGCAUUUGACUGGCUUUCAUGAGUUUGUACACUCAGUGAAUGAGAUGCUGAGCAUGUUCUAGGCCCUGGUAUCUUCUGGGACAGGGCAUCAAGGCCCCAGCUUUUGUGGAAUUUAUGUUCUAGUGGAAUUGUUGAUUAAAAGUGUUUAGGG